RNAcentral lists this ribosomal RNA (1966 nucleotides) under human gut metagenome. RNAcentral's name for it is "bacterial LSU rRNA". It matches the Rfam family "Bacterial large subunit ribosomal RNA", at positions 1 to 1991 of the family's 2925-position model. The record is from RNAcentral.
UAAAGCAAGAAAGGGCGUAUGGGGAAUGCCUAGGCACACUCCGGCGAAGAAGGACGCAGCAAACAGCGAAAUGCGACGGUGAGCGGUAAGCACGUGAAGAGCCGUCGAUAUCCGAAUGGGGGAACCCACACGGAGUCAUAUCCGUGUAUCACAUGUCGAAUACAUAGACAUGAUGAGGCGAGACGCAGGGAACUGAAACAUCUAAGUACCUGCAGGAAGAGAAAAUAAGAAUGAUUUUCUGAGUAGCGGCGAGCGAAAGGGAAAGAGCCCAAACCGAUUUGAGGAUCGGGGUAGUAGGAUCAUCGAUAAAUCAAACAGAGGAUCAUAGAGGAAUCACAUGGGAAGGUGAGCGAGAGAGGGUGAGAGCCCCGUACUCGAAAUGAGAGACUGGAGAGAGAUGACACCUGAGUAGGGCGGGACACGAGAAAUCCUGUCUGAAUCAGCCGGGACCAUCCGGCAAGGCUAAAUACGAGAGAGUGACCGAUAGUGAACCAGUACCGUGAGGGAAAGGUGAAAAGAACCCCGGGAGGGGAGUGAAAGAGAACCUGAAACCAUAUGCCUACAAGAAGUCAGAGCCCGUUAAAGGGUGAUGGCGUGCCUUUUGUAGAAUGAACCGGCGAGUUACUGUAUGGAGCGAGGUUAAGCAGGAUAUGCGGAGCCGAAGCGAAAGCGAGUCUUAAGAGGGCGCGAGUUGCAUGCAGUAGACCCGAAACCGGGUGAUCUAGCCAUGACCAGGUUGAAGUUGGGGUAAAACCCGAUGGAGGACCGAACCGACCCCCGUUGAAACGUUGGCGGAUGAGUUGUGGCUAGGGGUGAAAUUCCAAUCGAACCCGGAGAUAGCUGGUUCUCCCCGAAAUAGCUUUAGGGCUAGCGUCGAGAGAAGAGUUGCGUGAAGGUAGAGCACUGAAUAUGUGAUGGCCCCAUCUCGGGGUACUGAGCAUAAUCAAACUGCGAAUGUCACGCCAACAUGCUCGGCAGUCAGACAGCGGGUGAUAAGGUCCGUUGUCAAGAGGGAAACAGCCCAGACCAUCAGCUAAGGUCCCAAAAUGUAUGCUAAGUGGAAAAGGAUGUGGAGAUGUACAGACAACUAGGAGGUUGGCUCAGAAGCAGCCAUCCUUUAAAGAGUGCGUAACAGCUCACUAGUCGAAUGACUCUGCGCCGAUAAUUUACCGGGGCUAAGCAUACUACCGAAGCUAUGGAUCCCAAGGGAUGGUAGGGGAGCGUUCCAUGAACGGAGAAGUACGACCGAAAGGACGUGUGGAGAUCAUGGAAGAGAGAAUGCCGGUGUGAGUAGCGGAACGUGGGUGAGAAUCCCACGCACCGAAAACCCAAGGUUUCCAGAGGAAGGUUCGUCCGCUCUGGGUAAGUCGGGACCUAAGGCGAGGCCGAAAGGCGUAGUCGAUGGACAACAGGUAGAGAUUCCUGUACCCGUAUAUAUGUGAAGGAAUGACGGAGAGAGGAAGCUGCAGCCAGCGGCUGGAAGAGCUGGUGCAAGCGAGAUAUCGGGAUGGCAGGCAAAUCCACCAUCCGAAACGAGAAGGCGUGAAGCGUACGGAAAGCUACGGCGAGUACGGAAGGCAGUGGAGGAACUUCCAAGAAAAGUUUCUAACGUUAAGUAUAUAUGGCCCGUACCGAAAAUGGACACACAUGGGUGAGGAGAGAAUCCUAAGGUGAGCGAGAGAACUAUAGCUAAGGAACUCUGCAAAAUGACUCCGUAACUUCGGGAGAAGGAGUGCUCAUAGAGAUAUGAGCCGCAGUGAAACGGCCCAAGCGACUGUUUACCAAAAACACAGCUCUCUGCUAAGCCGCAAGGCGAAGUAUAGGGGGUGACGCCUGCCCGGUGCUGGAAGGUUAAGGGGAGGGGUUAACGCAAGUGAAGCCCUGAACUGAAGCCCCAGUAAACGGCGGCCGUAACUAUAACGGUCCUAAGGUAGCGAAAUUCCUUGUCAGGUAAGUUCUGACCCGC